UACGAAGGGGGCUAGCGUUGUUCGGAAUUACUGGGCGUAAAGCGCAUGUAGGCGGAUAUUUAAGUCAGGGGUGAAAUCCCAGAGCUCAACUCUGGAACUGCCUUUGAUACUGGGUAUCUUGAGUAUGGAAGAGGUAAGUGGAAUUCCGAGUGUAGGGGUGAAAUUCGUAGAUAUUCGGAGGAACACCAGUGGCGAAGGCGGCUUACUGGUCCAUUACUGACGCUGAGGUGCGAAAGCGUGGGGAGCAAACAGG
RNAcentral lists this ribosomal RNA (253 nucleotides) under uncultured bacterium. RNAcentral's name for it is "partial 16S ribosomal RNA". It matches the Rfam family "Bacterial small subunit ribosomal RNA", at positions 524 to 776 of the family's 1533-position model. The record is from RNAcentral.